UGAACGCUGGCGGCGUGCCUACUACAUGCAAGUCGAGCGAACAGACGAGGAGCUUGCUCCUUUGACGUUAGCGGCGGACGGGUGAGUAACACGUGGAUAACCUACCUAUAAGACUGGGAUAACUUCGGGAAACCGGAGCUAAUACCGGAUAACAUGUUGAACCGCAUGGUUCAACAGUGAAAGGCGGUCUUGCUGUCACUUAUAGAUGGAUCCGCGCCGCAUUAGCUAGUUGGUAAGGUAACGGCUUACCAAGGCAACGAUGCGUAGCCGACCUGAGAGGGUGAUCGGCCACACUGGAACUGAGACACGGUCCAGACUCCUACGGGAGGCAGCAGUAGGGAAUCUUCCGCAAUGGGCGAAAGCCUGACGGAGCAACGCCGCGUGAGUGAAGAAGGUCUUCGGAUCGUAAAACUCUGUUAUUAGGGAAGAACAAAUGUGUAAGUAACUAUGCACGUCUUGACGGUACCUAAUCAGAAAGCCACGGCUAACUACGUG
This 495-nucleotide ribosomal RNA is filed under the name uncultured bacterium. RNAcentral describes it as "partial 16S ribosomal RNA". It matches the Rfam family "Bacterial small subunit ribosomal RNA", at positions 30 to 507 of the family's 1533-position model. The record is from RNAcentral.